Molecule: long non-coding RNA, 1348 nt
Organism: Stegodyphus dumicola
Lineage: Eukaryota; Metazoa; Arthropoda; Arachnida; Araneae; Eresidae
Source: RefSeq, a predicted model, not a curated record
UUUGACAAUGAUGAUGCGAGGCUUCGGAGGCUGUUGAAAGUUUCAAGAAGAUUGCUCUACACUUCGGAUGAACACUACACUCAUACUAGCGGCCCACAUUACGAAUACAUGAUUCUUGGUUGUGUCAUUGUUGGCAUUCUCGCUUUAAUUCGAUGCUGCAUUAAAUACGGAUGUGAGGACACAGAAGACGAUUUAUCAGAUGCAACUAUUCAUCCUCCACCGAUAACUCAUCUACCAAGUCCUCCCAGAUCUGUAUCCAAUGCAUCAGUGCUUGCACCUCCGGCAACAAGUAGAGGCAUAAUUCUUCACCCAGACAGCAAUGUUUCCAUUAAUUUUCCUAAUGUAAUUAAUGUGGAAUUUGAUGAUUUGAGGAAUAUACCAAAUGCUACAGUUGGAGAAAACAAAGCUGCAACAAAUUUACAGGAUUUGCCACCGGAUUACUAUACUGUUGUAAAUAGCAGUACGCAUUUUUCACCAGUAAAGGAUACUAAAUGUCAGGAGGAAGCGAACAAAAUCAAGUCUUAUGAACCACCUCCAAAAUACUAAACAAGUCUGCGACUCAACACUGGAAUAAUUACGAGAAAGAUUAUUGGAAAGUUCUGGUGACUACCAGAAGACCUGUCAUUUUGAAGAUAGUUUCAAAAACCCCGACAUCUGGUUUCGAAACCACACAGACGAAGUCAACGAUGAUGAUUACCCUGAACAAACGAAUGAUAAAACAAUUAUCCUUGUCGUUCUUUUAAUCACAAUUGCAUUAGUUAUUAUGGUUUCCGUAUUUCAAUGCAUCAAGAGACAAACUGAUUCAGAAAGAAUUCCUGAUGCGCGUCAAAGACCUGCACAAUCAAUUUCCGUAGAUUCUAACAUUCUUAACAUUCUUUCAAGUACUGAGCAGUCAUUCGUAGAACAGAAUGGAGGAAUAACUAAUACUCAGGAAAUUGUGAAUCCGUUGUUUGAUCAUCCACCGGAUUACGCUACUGUGGUUAUUAGCGAUUUGAUUAAUACAGGAGUUCGCUACGCAAAACCGAAGGCUGAUGAGACACCACCACCAAUGUAUCAAGAUCAAUUUAAAUUAACCAGAAUAUAAAAUAUUCAUUCAAUAACCUAUGUAUUAUUCAAAAAUUGAUAUCGUGAUAGAAAUUCUGUUUCAAAACAUUCAUCAAUCAGAUUUGAAGAUUUGCAUGAAUAAUCAAUCGCAGCUAGGACUUUUAUAAGUUUUCUGAUUCCAUUUCUUUACCAUCAAUCAUCAAUUUAGUUCUUUUACAUCUUCUAUGAAAUUAUUUAUUUAGAAUUUGCUGUAUGUGUAUUUUAAUUAUUCAAUAAACAAAAUAUGCUUUCGUGGAUUUAAAAA